This 468-nucleotide ribosomal RNA is filed under the name uncultured bacterium. Its description in RNAcentral is "partial 16S ribosomal RNA". It matches the Rfam family "Bacterial small subunit ribosomal RNA", at positions 28 to 507 of the family's 1533-position model. The record is from RNAcentral.
GACGAACGCUGGCGGCGUGCUUAACACAUGCCAGUCGAACGGAAAGGCCCUGCUUUUGUGGGGUGCUCGAGUGGCGAACGGGUGAGUAACACGUGAGUAACCUGCCCUUGACUUUGGGAUAACUUCAGGAAACUGGGGCUAAUACCGGAUAGGAGCUCCUGCUGCAUGGUGGGGGUUGGAAAGUUUCGGCGGUUGGGGAUGGACUCGCGGCUUAUCAGCUUGUUGGUGGGGUAGUGGCUUACCAAGGCUUUGACGGGUAGCCGGCCUGAGAGGGUGACCGGCCAGAUUGGGACUGAGAUACGGCCCAGACUCCUACGGGAGGCAGCAGUGGGGAAUAUUGCACAAUGGGCGGAAGCCUGAUGCAGCAACGCCGCGUGCGGGAUGACGGCCUUCGGGUUGUAAACCGCUUUCGCCUGUGACGAAGCGUGAGUGACGGUAAUGGGUAAAGAAGCACCGGCUAACUACGUG